UCGUACCUCGCAGGGAUUUUCUGCCAGGUUUCGAGACAAACUUUCGUUGUCGAAUCUAUUAUAAGCAUCUCGCAUUCAAGUCAGCGCCAAAUCUCGAGCUUCUGUAGAAGAUCACCAAUCUUAGAGAUUUUGCUUCUGUUUCAAUUUGCCGGUGUUUUUUUCGUUGUUUCUGCAACAGUGUUCUGACCCAUUUUGUGUACAAAGGAGGAUCAGCUCCGUCGUUUGUUAAUUUAUUUGGUACAAAUCUCUCAAUUGCUGCUGAUACUAUUUCUUUGAAUUCAUGCAACAUCUGAUCUACACUUAUAUUACUUUGCAAGGAUUGGAGAUUGUCUCUCAGGAAGACGUUAAAUCGUGCAUUUAGAACAAUAUCGGAUGAUGUUUUAUGUGUACCACCGGAAAUAAACAUGCAUUUUUGUCAACAUAUCGAGGCAAUUGUAUCAUCUGAAUUGCGAGGUCAGUAAAAGGAUCCAAUUAUUAUUUUAUUCUGGUUGCCAACAAUGACCUCUGCCCAUACAAUUUCACAGGAACAAGAUAACAAAGUUUUCAGUUUGAAUCUGAUAUGUUGUAUGGUCUGAAGAAGAUCUAUCUAGGUUGGAACCAGACACCAUUAAUAGUACAUCAUCUGUUUUUGUGAUCAAGACUGUUUAUUUUGUCACAAUUUAAUUUAGAUCACUGUUGUUCUAUAUACACUAUCAAAACCUGAACUUCAUAUUUCAAUAACAACUCA
Molecule: long non-coding RNA, 727 nt
Organism: Schistocerca serialis cubense
Lineage: Eukaryota; Metazoa; Arthropoda; Insecta; Orthoptera; Acrididae
Exons: 4
Source: RefSeq, a predicted model, not a curated record